RNAcentral lists this ribosomal RNA (420 nucleotides) under uncultured bacterium. RNAcentral's name for it is "bacterial SSU rRNA". It matches the Rfam family "Bacterial small subunit ribosomal RNA", at positions 356 to 773 of the family's 1533-position model. The record is from RNAcentral.
AGGGAAUAUUGGACAAUGGGCGCAAGCCUGAUCCAGCCAUCCCGCGUGAAGGAUUAAGGCCCUCUGGGUUGUAAACUUCUUUUCUCUGGGAAUAAAAACCGGUAUUUAUACUGGCUUGAAGGUACCAGAGGAAUAAGCACCGGCUAACUCCGUGCCAGCAGCCGCGGUAAUACGGAGGGUGCAAGCGUUAUCCGGAUUCACUGGGUUUAAAGGGAGCGUAGGUGGCUUUGUAAGUCAGUGGUGAAAGCCCGGAGCUUAACUCCGGAACUGCCAUUGAUACUGCUUAGCUUGAAUCAACUUGAGGUGGAUGGAAUAUUACAUGUAGCGGUGAAAUGCUUAGAUAUGUAAUAGAACACCGAUUGCGAAGGCAGUUCACUAAGGUUGUAUUGACACUGAGGCUCGAAAGCGUGGGGAUCAAAC